This 25-nucleotide non-coding RNA is filed under the name Cricetulus griseus (Chinese hamster). Lineage: Eukaryota; Metazoa; Chordata; Mammalia; Rodentia; Cricetidae. The record is from RNAcentral.
UUUGAGAACAGCAGGGGAGAGUUUG